This 253-nucleotide ribosomal RNA is filed under the name uncultured prokaryote. RNAcentral's name for it is "partial 16S ribosomal RNA". It matches the Rfam family "Bacterial small subunit ribosomal RNA", at positions 525 to 777 of the family's 1533-position model. The record is from RNAcentral.
ACGGAGGGAGCUAGCGUUGUUCGGAAUUACUGGGCGUAAAGCGCACGUAGGCGGCUUUUUAAGUCAGAGGUGAAAUCCCGGGGCUCAACCCCGGAACUGCCUUUGAAACUGGAGAGCUAGAAUCUUGGAGAGGCGAGUGGAAUUCCGAGUGUAGAGGUGAAAUUCGUAGAUAUUCGGAAGAACACCAGUGGCGAAGGCGACUCGCUGGACAAGUAUUGACGCUGAGGUGCGAAAGCGUGGGGAGCAAACAGGA